Molecule: ribosomal RNA, 406 nt
Filed under: uncultured bacterium
Lineage: Bacteria
Description: partial 16S ribosomal RNA
Rfam family: Bacterial small subunit ribosomal RNA
Source: RNAcentral
AUUGAACGCUGGCGGCAGGCCUAACACAUGCAAGUCGAACGAGUGGCGGACGGGUGUGUAAUGUCUGGGAAACUGCCCGAUUGAGGGGGUUAACUACUGGAAAAGGUAGCUAAUACCGCAUACCAUCGGAUGUGCCCAGAUGGGAUUAGCUAGUAGGUGGGGUAACGGCUCACCAAGGCGACGAUCCCCAGCUGGUCUGAGAGGAUGACCGGCCACACUGGAACUGAGACACGGUCCAGACUCCUACGGGAGGCAGCAGUGGGGAAUAUUGCGCAAUGGGCGAAAGCCUGAUGCAGCCAUGCCGCGUGUAUGAAGAAGGCUUUCGGGUUGUAAAGUUCUUUCAUCAGAGAAGCGUUAUUCAAAGAGGAAGCACCGGCUAACUCCGUGCCAGCAGCCGCGGUAAUUC